Molecule: long non-coding RNA, 551 nt
Organism: Ruditapes philippinarum (Manila clam)
Lineage: Eukaryota; Metazoa; Mollusca; Bivalvia; Venerida; Veneridae
Exons: 4
Source: RefSeq, a predicted model, not a curated record
UCGGGCCUCACUAUUACCUCCCCUUGCUACUCUUCCUAUGUUUACUUCUACAGCGACAGAAAACGGGAAAUAUUCAAGUCGAAAUUGCUGCGGGUUGGAAGCGUGUGUGAAUGUUUGAAGGCUUCAUUUCCAUGCCAAUCGUUUUUUAUUUAUUUACAAGAAAGGUGAUAAAAACCACUCAUAACUUUCACAGGAUGUAGGCACAUAAAAAACAAGGAGUGUGAAAAAUGCACUAGGUGACCAUAUGACAUUAACUGAGCAGUGCACUGUGGGAAGCCCACUUGGAACUAUGGAAGAAGGUACAAGACCGGAUGGGAAGCGAACAGUUUCCCCGGGGCUCGACCCAGAGGAACCUGGGAAUCUGUUAUCACUGGAUGGAGUCUACCCCUGCAAAAUGAAGACAUAGAUGAAGAAAACAGACUUAAUUUUCCAUUCACGAUGAAAACAUUUUACACAGACUAAUAGUGAUCAGCAUGUAGAACAUUCCACUCUUGUAACAGACUUCACAAAUACAAGAUGUUCAUCUAUAUAGUCCUUAACCAUCAAUUAUU